This 1017-nucleotide ribosomal RNA is filed under the name Coniochaeta hansenii. RNAcentral describes it as "partial large subunit ribosomal RNA". It matches the Rfam family "Eukaryotic large subunit ribosomal RNA", at positions 55 to 1106 of the family's 3401-position model. The record is from RNAcentral. Lineage: Eukaryota; Fungi; Ascomycota; Sordariomycetes; Coniochaetales; Coniochaetaceae.
GGAAAAGAAACCAACAGGGAUUGCCCCAGUAACGGCGAGUGAAGCGGCAACAGCUCAAAUUUGAAAUCUGGCCUCGGCCCGAGUUGUAAUUUGUAGAGGAUGCUUUUGGCGAGGUGCCUUCUGAGUUCCCUGGAACGGGACGCCGUAGAGGGUGAGAGCCCCGUACAGUCGGACACCUAGCCUCUGUAAAGCUCCUUCGACGAGUCGAGUAGUUUGGGAAUGCUGCUCUAAAUGGGAGGUAUAUCUCUUCUAAAGCUAAAUAUAGGCCAGAGACCGAUAGCGCACAAGUAGAGUGAUCGAAAGAUGAAAAGCACUUUGAAAAGAGGGUUAAAUAGCACGUGAAAUUGUUGAAAGGGAAGCGCUUGUGACCAGACUUGCGCCGGGCUGAUCAUCCAGUGUUCUCACUGGUGCACUCGACCCGGCUCAGGCCAGCGUCGGUUCUCGCUGGGGGACAAAAGCUCCGGGAACGUGGCUCCUCCGGGAGUGUUAUAGCCCGUUGUUUAAUACCCUAGCGGGGACCGAGGUUCGCGCUCUGCAAGGACGCUGGCAUAAUGGUCAUCAGCGACCCGUCUUGAAACACGGACCAAGGAGUCGAGGUUUUGCGCGAGUGUUUGGGUGUUAAACCCGCACGCGUAAUGAAAGUGAACGUAGGUGAGAGCUUCGGCGCAUCAUCGACCGAUCCUGAUGUAUUCGGAUGGAUUUGAGUAAGAGCGUAAAGCCUCGGACCCGAAAGAUGGUGAACUAUGCCUGUAUAGGGUGAAGCCAGAGGAAACUCUGGUGGAGGCUCGCAGCGGUUCUGACGUGCAAAUCGAUCGUCAAAUAUGGGCAUGGGGGCGAAAGACUAAUCGAACCAUCUAGUAGCUGGUUACCGCCGAAGUUUCCCUCAGGAUAGCAGUGUUGUUCUUCAGUUUUAUGAGGUAAAGCGAAUGAUUAGGGACUCGGGGGCGCUUAUUAGCCUUCAUCCAUUCUCAAACUUUAAAUAUGUAAGAAGCCCUUGUUACUUAAUUGAACGUGGGC